RNAcentral lists this ribosomal RNA (501 nucleotides) under uncultured bacterium. Its description in RNAcentral is "partial 16S ribosomal RNA". It matches the Rfam family "Bacterial small subunit ribosomal RNA", at positions 30 to 523 of the family's 1533-position model. The record is from RNAcentral.
AUUGAACGCUGGCGGCAGGCUAAACACAUGCAAGUCGAGCGGGGGAAGGUAGCUUGCUACUGGACCUAGCGGCGGACGGGUGAGUAAUGCUUAGGAAUCUGCCUAUUAGUGGGGGACAACAUCUCGAAAGGGAUGCUGAUACCGCAUACGUCCUACGGGAGAAAGCAGGGGAUCUUCGGACCUUGCGCUAAUAGAUGAGCCUAAGUCGGAUUAGCUAGUUGGUGGGGUAAAGGCCUACCAAGGCGACGAUCUGUAGCGGGUCUGAGAGGAUGAUCCGCCACACUGGGACUGAGACACGGCCCAGACUCCUACGGGAGGCAGCAGUGGGGAAUAUUGGACAAUGGGGGGAACCCUGAUCCAGCCAUGCCGCGUGUGUGAAGAAGGCCUUAUGGUUGUAAAGCACUUUAAGCGAGGAGGAGGCUACUCUAGUUAAUACCUAGGGAUAGUGGACGUUACUCGCAGAAUAAGCACCGGCUAACUCUGUGCCAGCCGCCGCCGUAA